RNAcentral lists this transfer RNA (63 nucleotides) under uncultured Acidaminococcus sp. It matches the Rfam family "tRNA", at positions 2 to 63 of the family's 71-position model. From Rfam's summary of the family: Transfer RNA (tRNA) molecules are approximately 80 nucleotides in length. Their secondary structure includes four short double-helical elements and three loops (D, anti-codon, and T loops). Further hydrogen bonds mediate the characteristic L-shaped molecular structure. tRNAs have two regions of fundamental functional importance: the anti-codon, which is responsible for specific mRNA codon recognition, and the 3' end, to which the tRNAs corresponding amino acid is attached (by aminoacyl-tRNA synthetases). tRNAs cope with the degeneracy of the genetic code in two manners: having more than one tRNA (with a specific anti-codon) for a particular amino acid; and 'wobble' base-pairing, i.e. permitting non-standard base-pairing at the 3rd anti-codon position. Lineage: Bacteria; Bacillati; Bacillota; Negativicutes; Acidaminococcales; Acidaminococcaceae. The record is from RNAcentral.
CGGAAGUAGCUCAGUGGUAGAGCAUCACCUUGCCAAGGUGGGGGUCGCGAGUUCGAAUCUCGU